AGCUGACAAGACACAAGAAGAGAGGAGACAAGAAGUGAUUUAUCUUCUCCUCUAAGAGAAGUCAACAAUGAUGAAGCAAAGCUUGAGAAAACAUAGGGAGACCAUAGAAGUGAGAAGGGACCUAGAUGAAAAUCCAGUCUAGAUCUGCAGAAAGAAGUCAUUCUGCACUGCUAUAAAAGCCAAGUUGUGAAAGAUCAAUGAUAGACCUUUGGGCUCAAUUAUGCCAUCAGAUAAGGAGUAUAUCUCUAAGACUCUCUAGCUAAUUUAUACACAAGAGAUGCUUAAAUUGGUUCUCUUGUGUAACUUAACAUGCACUGAAAGUUCUGCCAUUGGGAAGAACGUCAAUCAAAUCAAGAAGAUCCACACAGAAAGCAAGAACAGAUGUGGCACACUUGUGAGGAAGGUGUUGCAGAAGUGUAAAGACAGCCCAAGAACCCCAGAGUGAAGCUUCAGGUGUCAGCUCCUGUGGGGUAACAGAUCAACACUGUGCUGCCAGACAGAUUGCUUAAAUCUCAGGAAAGAGUCAUAUGAAUGUUUCAAGAAUUACUUACUCAUAAGAUGUAGGAAAAGAAGAAGCUG
This is a long non-coding RNA of Passer domesticus (house sparrow), 579 nucleotides long. RefSeq lists it as uncharacterized. Lineage: Eukaryota; Metazoa; Chordata; Aves; Passeriformes; Passeridae. The transcript has 4 exons. The record is from RefSeq and is a predicted model, not a curated record.